AUGCUGUUGUUAGGUGCCAAAAGAUCACCCUGCUCUGAUGCCCAUAAAAUGAGGAUAUUUUUAAGAAGGGCAAGGAGAUACUUCAUAGCAAUGAAGACUUUUUUUUUCAGAACUAUAUUAAGCAACUUUGAAAACAGAAAGUUUUGUCAAGGCCCAUCAUGGCUUGCCACAUGUUUCCUGCCAUGUCCCUUCAUGCCUGAUUGUCUUGUUUCUUUUUUUCUUUUGCAGCAAAGAGCUCCUUGGCCUACAUUAAAAAAAAAUAAUAAAAAAAAAAAUUCCAAGGAAUAUUUGAGCACCAGCCAAUGUACCUUUCAGGCAGCACUCCUCACUCCUGUUACCCUUAUAUUGAUACAAGCACCCAAGCUGGCAGGUACUCCCUCUGUAAGCCCUGUUCCUGCUACUUGUCACCUCCAGUAUGCUGUCCCAUCUCUCAGGAGCAGUGCCAGUGUUCACAUAUUCUUGACUGUGCCUGACAGCACUGUUGGAGUAUGUCAUGAGGACUUCCCCUUCAGCAACCUCAAGAAGCCUUGCUGGCACCUGGUGGGGGAUCUGAAGACUAUUUACAUUCCAGAGGAAUUUACUGGGAAAGUCCAGGACUCUCAGGGCUUUGAAUACAUCUGAGGAGAGACGCCUGAUUGCCGUAACCCGAGAUGGGGUUCUUUGCUCAAGUGUCUGAAGCCCUGGUCCAGUUGCAAGCCAGCUCUCUGCAAGUUUGACUGACUUGGUCUAUAUCAACAACAACAACAACAACAACAACAACAACAAAGCAAUUGUGCAGGUGCUGGCCAAGCAUGUCUGGCUGAGUCUGCGAGGCUGCAUAGCCUGUGGCGAGAAACCUCAGGUUUGCUGUUUGUUUGCCACAUACUCAACACUGCUGUUAUUAUUUUACUGCCUGUAACUGAGGUGCUUCACAGUCACAAAUAUCAAAGGGAAAGAAAAUGUUUUAUUCUCCCCCACAAUCCUGUUAACAGAAUGUGUUACCAAAGCAAAAUGAUUUUCUUACAGAUAUGGCCCUUGUAAUGAGGAAGAACAGACUCAAAGGUGAAUACCUUCGACCACAGGUCCUUUCAGUCCUGGAGGAUGCGAGGGCAGCUUCAUCAGCUCUUUCACCACAGCUGACCUUUUGGCUGCAUGGGACAUAGAGAAAAUACUGUUUAUUGUGAAAAAAACCCAAAAGGCAGUAAGGGUCUAGCAUUCAGGUGAAUGGGUACCAGUCAGUUGCCUUUGAAGCUGGCUCAGCACUGUAUGGAAAAUUGCUUUUUGGUGCCAUGCACGUGCCAAUGGCAGCCAGCCUGGAUUCCUACAGCCCAGACAUGGUGCCAGAGUCAUCAUCACACCCAGCCCACUCAUUCUACAGCCCUUCUCCAUGCUGAACUCUCAUCUCCCUGCUCAAGAGAAAAGCCAGAGUGCCUCCCAGAGUGUUGGGAUUCUUCCUAUUCCCAGCUGACUUUUCCUAGAAAGACCAGAACUGAUAGACAGAUCAUGGGUACAGCAUAAACCAGAGAAAAGCACUGUGUAAUCAAAUAUCUAAGUAUUUUUUUCAUAAGCAGCAAAGCAAACACUCACUUACAGGGGCAUGCAGGUGCUCAUCCUGGAACAGAGGUGACUUUCUGUGGUAGCACACUGGGCAAAAUGUAAUCCCAAAGUCUGUGGCAAAACAGGGAGAAGUGGACCUCGGGGGUUCUUACCUCAGUCUCCUACCAGGGGAUUAUUCUGAAGCAGUAAACUUCUCUGUUUGCAGAUCCACAGAAGACUAAUGCCUGAGGCUUUCUGUUCCCAGCACUGCCCUUCAGCCUGCAUUUUGGCGAUCAGAAGUGGCAGCAUUAAACCCAGAGUCCAUUUUCUGUCAUGCAAAGGUGGAUGACUGUCAGGGACCAUAGGUCUCUAACUCUUGUUCCCAGCUGUGUUGGUUUAAGACGUUACCUCCAUCCUCCCUCUUUCCUUCCCCAGGCACUAAUGUCUGUCUGUGUCCCUGCUCUGCUGGCUUAAGCUACUGUGCCAGGUGAUAAAAGCUAAUGAACCAGAUGAGAACUGGGUCAACAGAGCAAUAAAUACACAUUUACACCUGCA
RNAcentral lists this long non-coding RNA (2070 nucleotides) under Cyanistes caeruleus (blue tit). Its description in RNAcentral is "lncRNA (ENSCCEG00000014699.1)". The record is from RNAcentral. Lineage: Eukaryota; Metazoa; Chordata; Aves; Passeriformes; Paridae.